Long non-coding RNA from Papaver somniferum (opium poppy), 728 nucleotides. RefSeq lists it as uncharacterized. The record is from RefSeq and is a predicted model, not a curated record. The transcript has 2 exons. NCBI's taxonomy places the organism in Eukaryota, Viridiplantae, Streptophyta, Magnoliopsida, Ranunculales, Papaveraceae.
UUUGAAAAACAAAUAAUUAAGCAAAUCAAAAUAAUGAAGCCAAUAUGCUCAAUUAAGAGUGUUAGUAAUCCCAAAUGGUAACUUUUGAAUAUCGUCGCCCCAUUCUUUCUUCUCUUCUCUAGAUAGACGAUUUCUGGCAAGGGAGAAAACUUUUUCCGACAAGCUUAACUGCUCAGAUCUUCUCAGAUCUGAGCAAUAUCAUUACUAAUCUACAUAUAUUAGUUUAGAUAUAUACUAGAUUUGUGUUGAAAAGAAAUCAGAGAAAGAAAUUCAAAAACCUAAACCGUAACUCAUCUUCCCCAUCAAAACCCUAAAUCAACCGCCAUGGAUUUAGCCUAUCUCAUCGGCUAAAUCCUCGAUUUGUCGGUCCUUUGAAUUCAAUUGGGUUGUCUGCUUGCCGAUUUUGCAAUAUCGCCUUCAUUUCUGAAGAUUUGAUCUUGCUGCUGCUUUAGGGGUUUUGGAUUUCGUCGGAGAUUCCAAGGCUGGAGUAUUCUUCAAUAACUUACCCCGCCUAGGUUUCAUAUCUGAUUUUGAGAGCAUUUUACAGUUUAUGCACCUUAUGUCGAGAUUCGCAGCCAAAGCAUUCCAUCUCCCAUUCUUAGCUAGAUUAGCAUUUCAGCCUGCAGCCUCCCAAUUUCACUAAUCUCAAGUUUGGAUAAUUGUCAGUAUUGGUGCAUAACUUUUGAACUAGUAGCAAACCAAGGAAUGUAUUGCAACACCAUGUCUAC